This 804-nucleotide small RNA is filed under the name Pan troglodytes (chimpanzee). Its description in RNAcentral is "retained intron". Lineage: Eukaryota; Metazoa; Chordata; Mammalia; Primates; Hominidae. The record is from RNAcentral.
CUGCUGCGCACGGGUGCCCCAGCCGCUGCGUGCCUGCGGUUGGGGACCAGUGCAGGGACCGGGUCGCGCCGUGCUAUGGCCCUGUACCACACUGAGGAGCGCGGCCAGCCCUGCUCGCAGAAUUACCGCCUCUUCUUUAAGAAUGUAACUGGUCACUACAUUUCCCCCUUUCAUGAUAUUCCUCUGAAGGUGAACUCUAAAGAGGUAUUGUUUUGACUUGUUUUGGGAAUGAAAACGUGUACUGCCAGUAUCACCAUUAGAUGCUUUUUGGAAGCACCUUGAAAGGAAAAAGUGUUGUUGGAAGUCAGGAGGACAAACAGGAGUUACUAUAACAGGGUCAUAAGCCUCCUAUAUGAAUUAAAAGUUGUAUGAGAAUAGGAUUCUUCCAUGAGGAAUUGGGAGAAAGGGGUGUUACUGGUCCAUAAAACUUAGAAUUCGGUAGGAAAUAAAGAUUUAAGGGUAGUAAUUUAGGAAAUUACCAAGAGGUUUAUUUACAAUAAUCAGCUAACGUUUGUGGAUUAUUUUUUAUUUGCUAGCCACUAUGUGAACAUGAUGUUAUUUAAUUGUUAUGAGUUGCUAUUUUUCUUUCCAAGGACACUGAGGCUCAAGGCAUUUUUAUAGACUUGUCUAAGAUCUGGUAAGUGCCAGAGCUAGUUUUGGAAUUAGCUUCUGACCACAAAGCUCAUGCUCUUUAACCACUCUAUGAAACAGGCAUUAGAGAAAUAAAGCAGGGGUAAAAAUGGUGGUGUUUGAAUAGCUGUUCUCUUAGAACUGAAAAUCACUUGACAGUUGUCAGGGUGUGAA